UCCCUUCUCUCUACUUUCUCUCUCUAAAAUUCUUCGAUCUUUUGCAUGUUUUCAUGGUAUCAGAGCCUGUAUAAUGAUCCGAUGAUACUUUUGUGUGAAUCAGUAGUUCAUUUGAACCAUUCUCUGAUGAGAUUUUUGGGGUUUUCUGAGAUCGAAAGGUCGGUGAUGGUUUUGACUCCCAUUAGGGUUCUUUCGAGCCUUUAUCUUCACGAUCUGUGACUGUUCUUCGUCUCUUUAACGGUUCAAUCGAUUGUUGUGAAAUUUUCGGAGAUUUUUCAGUGAGUUUUCAACCUCUAGGGUUUCUGGUGGUCAAAUCGGUCGUUUGACUGCCAUCCGGUGGUUUGAUACUCAUUUUUGCUGAUGUUUUGGGUGUUAUCGGUACUGCUCCGACAUCGUUGACGGUAUCUCCGGCAAAACUUUGACGGUUACUCUAGGGUUCAUACCUAGGGUUUAAUCUGUUGUUAAAGGCCGAUCUUCUCCGGUUGCGAAGGACGGUAACAUUAUUCCUAUCUUUUGGUUGUGAUUCUUUGGUUGUGUGUGAUUGUUUGAUUCUAUUUGUGAGUACUGAUUGUUUGAGCUGUGAAUACUGAUUUUUGGUGAUAUUUGUGAACGAUUUAAUUCAUUUGAGCAUGGCUUCUAACACGAAUGGUGGUGGUUCUAGUAGUAACUCUGGUUCUAUAGACCCUUCCAACCCUUUGUUUGUAAAUUC
RNAcentral lists this long non-coding RNA (709 nucleotides) under Nicotiana benthamiana. RNAcentral describes it as "long non-coding RNA (NBEN_LNC011191)". Lineage: Eukaryota; Viridiplantae; Streptophyta; Magnoliopsida; Solanales; Solanaceae. The record is from RNAcentral.